CCUACGGGUGGCAGCAGUGAGGAAUAUUGGUCAAUGGACGCAAGUCUGAACCAGCCAUGCCGCGUGCAGGAAGACGGCUCUAUGAGUUGUAAACUGCUUUUGUACGAGGAUAAACGCAGAUACGCGUAUCUGUCUGAAAGUAUCGUACGAAUAAGGAUCGGCUAACUCCGUGCCAGCAGCCGCGGUAAUACGGAGGAUUCAAGCGUUAUCCGGAUUUAUUGGGUUUAAAGGGUGCGUAGGCGGUCGGAUAAGUUAGAGGUGAAAUCCCGAGGCUCAACGUCGGGAUUGCCUCUGAUACUGUUCGGCUAGAGAGGAGUUGAGGUAGGCGGAAUGUAUGGUGUAGCGGUGAAAUGCUUAGAGAUCAUACAGAACACCGAUUGCGAAGGCAGCUUACCAAGCUACUUCUGACGUUGAGGCACGAAAGCGUGGGGAGCGAACAGGAUUAGAUACCCCAGUAGUC
This 460-nucleotide ribosomal RNA is filed under the name uncultured bacterium. RNAcentral describes it as "partial 16S ribosomal RNA". It matches the Rfam family "Bacterial small subunit ribosomal RNA", at positions 338 to 795 of the family's 1533-position model. The record is from RNAcentral.